This 407-nucleotide ribosomal RNA is filed under the name uncultured bacterium. RNAcentral describes it as "partial 16S ribosomal RNA". It matches the Rfam family "Bacterial small subunit ribosomal RNA", at positions 30 to 526 of the family's 1533-position model. The record is from RNAcentral.
AUUGAACGCUGGCGGCAGGCCUAACACAUGCAAGUCGAGCGGAGCGGCGGACGGGUGAGUAAUGCCUAGGAAUCUGCCUGGUAGUGGGGGUUAACGUCCGGAAACGGGCGCUAAUACCGCAUACUAUCAGAUGAGCCUAGGGCGGAUUAGGUAGGUGGUGGGGUAAAGGCCUACCCAGGCGACGCACCGUAACUGGUCUGAGAGGAUGAUCAGGCACACGGGAACUGAGACACGGUCCAGACGCCUACGGUAGGUAGCAGGGGGGAAUAUGGGACAAUGGGCGAAAGACUGAUCCAGCCAUGCCGCGUGUGUGAAGAAGGUCUUCGGAUUGUAAAGCACUCUAAGUUGGGAGGCGUUACUAACAGAAUAAGCACCGGCUAACUUCGUGCCAGCAGCCGCGGUAAUAC